ACAUGCAAGUCGAGGGGCAGCAUAAUGGAUAGCAAUAUCUAUGGUGGCGACCGGCGCACGGGUGCGUAACGCGUAUGCAACCUACCUUUAACAGGGGGAUAACACUGAGAAAUUGGUACUAAUACCCCAUAAUAUCAUAGAAGGCAUCUUUUAUGGUUGAAAAUUCCGAUGGUUAGAGAUGGGCAUGCGUUGUAUUAGCUAGUUGGUGGGGUAACGGCUCACCAAGGCGACGAUACAUAGGGGGACUGAGAGGUUAACCCCCCACAUUGGUACUGAGACACGGACCAAACUCCUACGGGAGGCAGCAGUGAGGAAUAUUGGUCAAUGGACGCAAGUCUGAACCAGCCAUGCCGCGUGCAGGAUGACGGCUCUAUGAGUUGUAAACUGCUUUUGUACGAGGGUAAACUCACCUACGUGUAGGUGACUGAAAGUAUCGUACGAAUAAGGAUCGGCUAACUCCGUGCCAGCAGCCGCGGUAAUACGGAGGAUUCAAGCGUUAUCCGGAUUUAUUGGGUUUAAAGGGUGCGUAGGCGGUUAGAUAAGUUAGAGGUGAAAUCCCGGGGCUUAACUCCGAAAUUGCCUCUAAUACUGUUUGACUAGAGAGUAGUUGCGGUAGGCGGAAUGUAUGGUGUAGCGGUGAAAUGCUUAGAGAUCAUACAGAACACCGAUUGCGAAGGCAGCUUACCAAACUAUAUCUGACGUUGAGGCACGAAAGCGUGGGGAGCAAACAGGAUUAGAUACCCUGGUAGUCCACGCAGUAAACGAUGAUAACUCGCUGUCGGCGAUACACAGUCGGUGGCUAAGCGAAAGCGAUAAGUUAUCCACCUGGGGAGUACGUUCGCAAGAAUGAAACUCAAAGGAAUUGACGGGGGCCCGCAC
RNAcentral lists this ribosomal RNA (879 nucleotides) under uncultured bacterium. Its description in RNAcentral is "bacterial SSU rRNA". It matches the Rfam family "Bacterial small subunit ribosomal RNA", at positions 53 to 926 of the family's 1533-position model. The record is from RNAcentral.